Molecule: transfer RNA, 85 nt
Filed under: Roseisolibacter agri
Lineage: Bacteria; Pseudomonadati; Gemmatimonadota; Gemmatimonadia; Gemmatimonadales; Gemmatimonadaceae
Description: tRNA-Arg
Source: RNAcentral
GUGCGCGUCGGACUGGGCGGCGGCGUCGCCGGGGCUCCGGUCACCGGACGCGCUCAUCGCGGCUCGAGCCCGCACGCGCUCGCCA